GAAUCUCUGUUGCUUGCAACAGCGAAUUGUAGUCUCGAGAAGUGUUUUCAAGGCGGAUGCACUGCGCCAAAGUUGUUUGGAACGACACAUCGUAGAGGGUGACAAUCCCGUACGUGGCACAGUGUACCGUUCACGAUGCACUUUCUAUGAGUCGGGUUGCUUGGGAAUGCAGCCCAAAAUGGGAGGUAAACUCCUUCUAAAGCUAAAUAUGGGCACGAGACCGAUAGCGAACAAGUACCGUGAGGGAAAGAUGAAAAGCACUUUGAAAAGAAAGUUAAUAGUACGUGAAACCGUUAGGAGGGAAGCGCAUGGAAUUAGCAAUGCGUCGUCGAGAUUCAGGCUGAUUGUCGGAGAUACUGGUAUUGUACGGAUCUGAAUGGACUGUCGGUGCUAGUCGUCUUUGGUAGCUAGUCGCAUUUCCCGGCGAUGCGCGUCAACGAGUGUUGGUACCGAGCGACACGCUCUGCGAGAAGGUAGCCGUCUUCGGAUGGUGUUAUAGCUCGUGGACGCCAGUUCGGGAUCGACAGAGGAGUCGCGGCACAUGCCUUUUUUGGCUGGCCUCCCUGCUUCCAGUUGGUUGUCGAGCAUACCGGACAGCGUGCUGUGCGGUUGAACUGCUGCUAGCUGUUAAGUGGGAGAGUGCACACACUGUGCUAAGGUCGUUGGCGGUCAUAUGGUUUCAUGCGGCCCGACCGA
RNAcentral lists this ribosomal RNA (696 nucleotides) under Lafoea dumosa. Its description in RNAcentral is "partial large subunit ribosomal RNA". It matches the Rfam family "Eukaryotic large subunit ribosomal RNA", at positions 118 to 656 of the family's 3401-position model. The record is from RNAcentral. Lineage: Eukaryota; Metazoa; Cnidaria; Hydrozoa; Leptothecata; Lafoeidae.